AGCGAACGCUGGCGGCAGGCCUAACACAUGCAAGUCGAACGGACCCUUCGGGGUUAGUGGCGGACGGGUGAGUAACACGUGGGAACGUGCCUUUAGGUUCGGAAUAGCUCCUGGAAACGGGUGGUAAUGCCGAAUGUGCCCUUCGGGGGAAAGAUUUAUCGCCUUUAGAGCGGCCCGCGUCUGAUUAGCUAGUUGGUGAGGUAACGGCUCACCAAGGCGACGAUCAGUAGCUGGUCUGAGAGGAUGACCAGCCACACUGGGACUGAGACACGGCCCAGACUCCUACGGGAGGCAGCAGUGGGGAAUCUUGCGCAAUGGGCGAAAGCCUGACGCAGCCAUGCCGCGUGAAUGAUGAAGGUCUUAGGAUUGUAAAACUCUAGUCCUUGGUGAAGAAAGGACGGUAGCCAAGGAGGAAGCCCGGCUAACUACGUG
Molecule: ribosomal RNA, 432 nt
Filed under: uncultured bacterium
Lineage: Bacteria
Description: bacterial SSU rRNA
Rfam family: Bacterial small subunit ribosomal RNA
Source: RNAcentral